UGUUUCGAGGUCUAAUUUGAAAUGAUGUGU
Molecule: non-coding RNA, 30 nt
Filed under: Rattus norvegicus (Norway rat)
Lineage: Eukaryota; Metazoa; Chordata; Mammalia; Rodentia; Muridae
Source: RNAcentral